CUGGCGGCGUGCCUAACACAUGCAAGUCAACUUGACUGAAGGAGCAAUCUGACAGUAGAGUGGCGCAAGGGUGCGUAACGCGUAAGUAACUUGCCCCAAGGUAAGGAAUAACGUCGAGAAAUCGGCGCUAAUACCUCAUAAUGCAGCGGAUCCGCAUGGAUAUGUUGUUAAAGGUUUACCGCCUUGGGAUAGGCUCGCGUCUGAUUAGUUAGUUGGUGUGGUAACGGCACACCAAGGCUACGAUCAGUAACUGGUCUGAGAGGAUGAUCAGUCACACUGGAACUGAGACACGGUCCAGACUCCUACGGGAGGCAGCAGUGAGGAAUAUUGGGCAAUGCUCGAAAGAGUGACCCAGCAACGCCGCGUGGAGGAUGAAGGUAUUCUAUAUCGUAAACUCCUGUGAGAGCAGACGAAAGACAGAUUAUUAAUCUGGAUGACUGUAUGCUCAGAGGAAGCCCCGGCUAACUACGUG
This 472-nucleotide ribosomal RNA is filed under the name uncultured bacterium. Its description in RNAcentral is "bacterial SSU rRNA". It matches the Rfam family "Bacterial small subunit ribosomal RNA", at positions 36 to 507 of the family's 1533-position model. The record is from RNAcentral.